RNAcentral lists this long non-coding RNA (297 nucleotides) under Glycine max (soybean). RNAcentral describes it as "long non-coding RNA (GMAX_LNC004649)". Lineage: Eukaryota; Viridiplantae; Streptophyta; Magnoliopsida; Fabales; Fabaceae. The record is from RNAcentral.
AAAAAUCCAGCUGCAACGCCGCCCAAGAAAUUAAUUUAAUCAAUAAAUAAAAAAGAGGGUGAAUACUGAAUAGUGAGUAGGAGUACACUAAACAAUUAAUGUUAGGAAAGCAAUAAAUAAACUAACCUCAAAAGGGAAGGAAGGAAGAAUGAGAAUAUGUCACACUGUCAUGUCAUGUGUGUAACAGUGCAUCUCAGCAUCUAUGUUUGCAUAAUGCAGUGAACAUUAUGAACCCUUCAAUGGUCAAUAGGCAUGCUAAGGUAUAUAUGUACUUGACCAAGUGCCACGUUAGUAACC